RNAcentral lists this ribosomal RNA (497 nucleotides) under uncultured bacterium. Its description in RNAcentral is "partial 16S ribosomal RNA". It matches the Rfam family "Bacterial small subunit ribosomal RNA", at positions 28 to 507 of the family's 1533-position model. The record is from RNAcentral.
GAUGAACGCUGGCGGCGUGCCUAAUACAUGCAAGUCGAGCGAACAGAUGAGGAGCUUGCUCCUCUGACUUUAGCGGCGGACGGGUGAGUAACACGUGGAUAACCUACCUAUAAGACUGGGAUAACUUCGGGAAACCGGAGCUAAUACCGGAUAAUAUAUUGAACCGCAUGGUUCAAUAGUGAAAGACGGUUUUGCUGUCACUUAUAGAUGGAUCCGCGCCGCAUUAGCUAGUUGGUAAGGUAACGGCUUACCAAGGCACCGAUGCGUAGCCGACCUGAGAGGGUGAUCGGCCACACUGGAACUGAGACACGGUCCAGACUCCUACGGGAGGCAGCAGUAGGGAAUCUUCCGCAAUGGGCGAAAGCUUGACGGAGCAACGCCGCGUGAGUGAUGAAGGUCUUCGGAUCGUAAAACUCUGUUAGUAGGGAAGAACAAAUGUGUAAGUAACUAUGCACGUCUUGACGGUACCUAAUCAGAAAGCCACGGCUAACUACGUG